Molecule: long non-coding RNA, 1800 nt
Organism: Brassica napus (rape)
Lineage: Eukaryota; Viridiplantae; Streptophyta; Magnoliopsida; Brassicales; Brassicaceae
Exons: 7
Source: RefSeq, a predicted model, not a curated record
UUCGUCUUCAACAAUUAUUUUCCCUUUAUAGGGUUCAUGUUAUUCUUCAGAUUCCAUAAAGUGAAUGGGAGAUGACUUUUAACAGCGAAUAUUUUGAGUGAAUGUUUGUUCGUAUCGUUUGGACUUUCGUUCGUGUCGUUUGGACUCAAUAUCUUUAAGCCAUGUAAGCGAAAUUGAUGUUGGUGUCGUUUGGAGUGACUUGAUGUUCCUCUCAUCAAUGACCAUCUUAACUCCUUUAUCCCACUAAUGAUUCCUCAUUGAAUUCAAUGCAUCUCCCUUCACUUUCAGUCGACAUCAUCAGUAAACAAGACGAGAUGCAGCCGUUAAAGCACCGUCCGUACAACCACCACAUAAACAUUCCCUGUUGAACAAUAUUUGUACCCAAUUUCAGAUCCACAUCCGUCGACGCCAUAUCAUACCGGGAUCAUCCUGAGAAUCAUGUGCAGCGACGUUACCGAAAGAUAAGGCACGGCAUGAGUGAACAAAAGACUGACGCCACAGCGCAGAUGAUAAGGAUACGCCCGUAGAACGGCUGAUAGCAUGGAGACAAUGAUGACAGAGAUAUGAAGACUAAGACUAAUUAAGUAUUGUGUCUGGUUAUGUUUCAACACAAGAUGUUACACGCAAGUACGCACCGCCUUGCUCCGGUGGGAGAUCGCUGGCUACGCUAAUGUUCCAGUCACAGAAGGAAGCUCUGCACCCUUGAAGUACGAUAUUUCUCUCCCCUCUUGAAGAGUAAACAAUAGGAACUCAUUAGUUCUUUGAUAUGCGACAAAGUUGAGCUGUUGUUAUGUCUUAGCUCCAUUUAUAUGUUUGUUAUUUUGAUCCAAGAUGGGAUUCCUCAUGUAGCUGAUUUUGUGCACGGUUAAAAAUGGGAUAGGAGAUGUCUCUCCUCUCUUCUGAGUAUAAAGUGCAGCUGGGAUUCUAUUGAGAAGGUCUAUGACUAUCCAUGUGAAGUCACUAAUUCUCGCCAUCUGACCUCUGAUCAGUCUUGCAAUAUUCAUAAGCGAGUACAGUUAUGAUGGUUGUUACACUUGGUGGAGCUUUCUCUGCAUUAGGGAAUAUCAAUCCCCCAGCUGAUAAAAUAUAUAUACUGUUGUUGGGAUUAACAUCACUAUCCAACUUAAACUAACAGAAAGCAAGUAUCUUCUACUGUUCAAGAUGAUGACCUCUUUGCGCUGCUAGACUCCAAUGGGAAACACACAAGAUUGUUAAGUGACUUGUGCAAAUUUUAUAGAGAAAGCAAGAAAACUUUGAUCUAAACAUGGUUAAGAAGUUCCAAUUUUUAUUCAAUUUUUUUUAUUGUUGUUGGUUUUUAGGAGUGUUACCUUCAUGAGUCGGUGAGCUUCAUGGAAGCUGGACGGUCUGAUCUAUAAAUAUAAGAAAGGGGUUGUUCGGGUGGGGACUCAGGGAAUAUGCGUCGGCCAUAAGCUCAUGUAUGAAGCCCUCAAACGUCAUAUUAUAUAACUUUAAUCUUCACAGGAAAAUAAAGAAUUGUAGAUGGAACGGGAGCAAUCCAUGGGUGAAUCCAUGGGUGAGAUUUUCACCUGUGUCUAUGGCUUGGACGAUAGAUGUAGACAAAGUUUUAGAACUGUCUAAAUGCAAAACUUAGGUAAAAUAACAUAACAAUGAAAACUAUCUAUCGUUUUCUCUUUUAGUCUAGGUUGUUGGCAAAGCUAUAAAAUUUCCGAUUAAUAGAUUUGAUAACAUUCAAUAGUAAAUGAUAAAGAAUAAAAUUGAAUUAGUAGAUUAUUGAGACUUUAGAGAAAAAAAAAGCACCACACAUUAGGAUCAUAAUUA